GAAAUGCGAUAAGUAAUGUGAAUUGCAGAAUUCAGUGAAUCAUCGAAUCUUUGAACGCACCUUGCGCUCCUUGGUAUUCCUUGGAGCAUGCCUGUUUGAGUAUCAUGAAAUCUUCAAAGUAAAUCUUUUGUUAACUCAAUUGGUUUCUACUUUGGUAUUGGAGGUCUUUGCAGCUUCACACCUGCUCCUCUUUGUUCAUUAGCUGGAUCUCAGUGUUAUGCUUGGUUCCACUCGGCGUGAUAAGUUAUCUAUCGCUGAGGACACUGUAAAAGGUGGCCAAGGUAAAUGCAGAUGAACCGCUUCUAAUAGUCCAUUGACUUGGACAAUACUUUUAUGAUCUGAUCUCAAAUCAGGUAGGACUCCCCGCUUAACUUAAGC
RNAcentral lists this unclassified non-coding RNA (378 nucleotides) under plant metagenome. RNAcentral describes it as "partial contains 5.8S ribosomal RNA, internal transcribed spacer 2, and large subunit ribosomal RNA". The stretch from base 1 to 105 matches the Rfam family "5.8S ribosomal RNA", at positions 50 to 154 of the family's 154-position model. The record is from RNAcentral.